This 857-nucleotide long non-coding RNA is filed under the name Anser brachyrhynchus (Pink-footed goose). RNAcentral's name for it is "lncRNA (ENSABRG00000021286.1)". Lineage: Eukaryota; Metazoa; Chordata; Aves; Anseriformes; Anatidae. The record is from RNAcentral.
UUAUCUCAACUCACCGGCUUCACUUUCCCGUUUCUCUCCCCCAUCCCAGAGAGGGAGGGGGGAGGGUGAGCGAACGGCUGUGUGGUGUUUAGCUGCCAGCCGGGUUAAACCACAACAUUGUGCCUUUUCUAUAGCAGAAGGAUCUCUUCCUAGUUUAGAAAUGUUCAAAACUUGUGCAUAAAACACAAUCUCUCUACAUAGUAAUUGCAUUCCUUUCUUCAGAUAACAUGAAUGUUACUAUGCUGUUCAAUAACUAAAGUAAUAUGCAACAGCAUUUCUUUAUUACCUUUUGUCUUGAGCUAGUAAUGCACUGACUUUGGUUUCACUUGAUCACAUCCACAGACAACCUUUGGAAAUUUUUGAGUCAGGAAACAGAGAAGCUGGUGCAGUAUUUUGGUCUCUUCCCAUAUAUGAGGUCUUCAGUGGAACAAAGCUGAGAUGUCCAGUCUAUCUAGACGGACGGUGGAGACAGAGCUCAGUGGAGAACAAGAUCAAGACAAACAAACAUAAUGUCCAUCUUAAGACAAGUGGAUUAGCAGGUUCCUUAUUUAUUUUUUUUCUGUUAUUUUCUAUUAUAUCCAUUUCAUUAUUAAAGAACAUACAGAAAUCAAAUCUGCCCCAGUCCUUCAUGCAGGGAAAAAAAUUCUAAUAAUGCCAGUGUAUGACUAUUAACAAGAUACUCACAGAAAAGUCCAUCUCACUCUACUUCUUGAUGGUUGAUAACAAUGAAAUGCAACUUCUUAUGAUUAACUGCUUUAAAGAUUAAGGGCCAUAUAUCUGCAAAAAUACUUGUGUUGCUAGCCAUACAGACGUCUCUGAAGAAUAAAAAAUAUCUGGGAUGGAACUAAUUUUCUUCA